UUGACAGCCUUGGAGACUGAAGCCCUCUAUUUAUCUACAGAACAGGUACAGACAGCCUGGGCAGCGGCAGUGCUAGCUUCCACACUUCCCCCACCACCGUGCCUCAACCUUGACCUGGAGGAACCACCUUUAGAGGUGAGAGGGGAACUCAGUCUCCAUGUCCAUUCAGACCUUGGCCUCU
This is an unclassified non-coding RNA of Apteryx haastii (Great spotted kiwi), 181 nucleotides long. Lineage: Eukaryota; Metazoa; Chordata; Aves; Apterygiformes; Apterygidae. The record is from Ensembl.